UGCGGGGGGGGCAAGCGUUGUUCGGAAUUACUGGGCGUAAAGGGCUCGUAGGCGGCCAACUAAGUCGGAUGUGAAAUCCCCAGGCUUAACCUGGGAACUGCAUCCGAUACUGGAUGGCUUGAAUCCGGGAGAGGGAUGCAGAAUUCCAGGUGUAGCGGUGAAAUGCGUAGAUAUCUGGAGGAAUACCGGUGGCGAAGGCGGCAUCCUGGACCGGCAUUGACGCUGAUGAGCGAAAGCUAGGGGAGCAAACGGG
RNAcentral lists this ribosomal RNA (253 nucleotides) under uncultured bacterium. RNAcentral describes it as "partial 16S ribosomal RNA". It matches the Rfam family "Bacterial small subunit ribosomal RNA", at positions 524 to 776 of the family's 1533-position model. The record is from RNAcentral.